This 229-nucleotide ribosomal RNA is filed under the name uncultured bacterium. RNAcentral's name for it is "partial 16S ribosomal RNA". It matches the Rfam family "Bacterial small subunit ribosomal RNA", at positions 568 to 796 of the family's 1533-position model. The record is from RNAcentral.
UACGUAGGCGGAAAAUUAAGUCAGUAGUGAAAUCCUGCAGCUUAACUGUAGAACUGUUAUUGAUACUGGUUUUCUUGAGUAUAGUUGAGGUAGGCGGAAUGUGUAAUGUAGCGGUGAAAUGCUUAGAUAUUACACAGAACACCGAUUGCGAAGGCAGCUUACUAAGCUAUGAUUGACGCUGAGGUACGAAAGCGUGGGGAGCGAACAGGAUUAGAUACCCUGGUAGUCC